CAGCUGCACGCCAAGGGCAAAAGCAAGGAGAGAGAAAGGAGAGAGAACAGAGCAGUGGAAAGAGCCUGAACCAGCGCAGCCCUGAAGUAAGGGCGGGAGAGGCACCAGCGGUGCCCGUGUGAAGCUGGCAGCAGCACGAUAAAGGAGAGAGCACGGAGGAAGCAAGGGGAGAGAACGGAGCAGUGGAAAGAGCCCGAGCCAGCGCAGCCCUGAAGUAAGGGCGGGUGUCAAUGUGAAGCUGGCAGCUGCACGAUCAAGGAGAGAGCACGGAGCAGGGGAAAGAGCCUGACCAGCCGCCCGUGAGCAGGAGUGUCAGCGCCAGCGAGAGCGCCGUGGGUUCGACCCACACACACACCGACAAGCACCAGCUGGGAACCAAGACAAGAGUGAGGAACGGUGACCAGCGGUGAGCUGCGCGUGCUAUCUGACGACGGAAUCAUCGCGCACCAUCGACGGCGAGCAUCGCGCCAACUCAACCAGCAGUGGAGAGCUGCAACGCCAAGAGGAAUGGCGCAGGCAAGAGCGCCGUGUGUUUAAUACACACACACGCCGGUCCCACCGGCCCUGCUGGGAACCCGAGGCAGAGUGCUGGGCCACCAGCGACGAAUCUCUGGGUGCUUUCCAGCAGUGGGCACACCAUUCAGAAGACACAAGAAGAAAAUUAACUUCAUGUCUCUCCACUUCAGCCCCACCUAUCUUCUAGAAGUUUCUCAAUCCAACUGAACCUACCCUUCCCCCCAUGCUCUUACGUGACUCCUUUGACCUCACUUUUAACACCUUGUUUACUGCCCUAUCUCCAAUUCCACCUGUACUUUACUUAAACCAAUCUUCCCACCCUCUCUUCCACCUUGCUAUUGCUUUUCCCACGCUCCGUUCCAUACGCUCCCCCUCAACAUAAUAACAUCCACAUCGUCUCUCCCCCCCUCCCAUAAACACACAGCCCUCACAUGUCUUCCCAGUGAUAACCAACAGCUGCUCAUAAAAAAACAUGUAAAAGGACUAGGCACACGAGAAGCAAUCUUCUGUCUACAGA
This is a long non-coding RNA of Lethenteron reissneri (Far Eastern brook lamprey), 1033 nucleotides long. RefSeq lists it as uncharacterized. NCBI's taxonomy places the organism in Eukaryota, Metazoa, Chordata, Hyperoartia, Petromyzontiformes, Petromyzontidae. The record is from RefSeq and is a predicted model, not a curated record.